GGCUGUGCCCAUGGCAUGCAAAAGUUCCUGGGCCAUGGAAUGAACCAAAAACUACAGCAGUAACAAUGAAGAAUCCUUAACCGCUAGGCCACCAGGAAACUCCUCAACAUAGUUAAUCCUUUUUUUUUUUUUUUUUUUUUUUUUUUGUCUUUUUUGCUAUUUCUUGGGCCACUCCCACGGCAUAUGGACAUUCCCAGGCUAGGGGUCGAAUCGGAGCUGUAGCCACCGGCCUACAACCCAAACUAAAUGAAGGGCUGUGAGGAUACCUUAAUGUAUUCAGGGAAGGCUGCCUGUGAUACGUAAAAUAUGGAAAGGAGAAAAAAAACACAAAGGGUUAGAUAGGGCCAAAAUACAAAUGCCCUUGAAUACCAGGCUAAGGAGUUAAACUUUAUGCAGCAGACAAUGGGAAAACAUCAAAGACUUUAAAGUCAGGGAAUAUAUGACUAUAUCCACACUUUGGAAAGACAAUGUUGACCUUGCAGUGAGUAAUGCACGGAAAGAAGAGAACAAAGAGGUAGGAUGCUCUGGUCUGGAUGAGACCACAGCAGUCCUCCCAGUGAGAAGAAAAAGACUCUGACUGCUACACCAUAGUGAGAACGGAGAUGAAGGAACGGAUUUGAGAGAUAUUUGGGAGAUAAAUUAGUGGAAUUUAGAGAACUAUGAGAUGUGGCAGACAAGAAAGAAAUUAAAGUCUAAACUACUGAGGUACCAGCCUAGAAAAACAGAUAAUACAGGCACUUCCCACACUGACUGAUAGGAGAAAGACAGCUUAAAGGCUCUUGCUUACAGUUUUAAGAAAACAAUCUAAAUAUCCAUUAAUAUCUUAAAAGUUAUGUAAAUUAUAAAAUUGUUUAGGACAGCAUAUUAUAUAUUUAUUAAAAUCACUUUUAGAGAACAUAUAAUCCCAGGGUAAAAUGUCAUGAUACAGUAAAUGAAAUAAGUAGGUUACCAAACAGCAUUACCCAAUUUUGUUUUGCAUAUUGGUAGAAUUUAUUUUGAUUGAAGGAAUAUGCCAAAAAGUCAACAGUAGCUUACUUUGAUAGUGGGGUAAUGGGACAUUACAAUUUCUUUCUUGAAUGUUUUUUUCUCAUUGUCUAAUUAUGCUACAACAACUACAGAAUAUAUUUCAUUUAAAAAUAAACUUUUGCUCUAAAGCACUGUACCUUAUAGCACUGGGGCCUGUGGUGAAUCUACUGAAGCCUGUAGCUAUGUCACAAGUGGAGGGAAUUUGACAUGACCAGACCCCAAAGUCUACUGCAGGUUCGCUAUGGGAGACUACAUUCACAACAAAUUGAACAAAGCAGUUUUUUUCCUUUUGAAAUAUUUACCACAAUUACAAAGUAUAAAAUGGAUUCUUUCCCAUUUAUUUAUAAUGCAUUAUCAUGAAUGGUUUAUGUCUGUAUACAUGCAACUACAAGUGGGAGUUUGCUACACACCUGUAUUUUAUUCUGUGUAGUCAUGCGAAAAAGAUUUAUUCUGUUCAUACUCAAUUUCUGUUACUCAGGUUCAUUUGAUAUAGAGCAGCCACUAUAUGGUGAAGAAGCAGCUCAGCAAAUACUAAUCUUUUUUAUAAGUACAUGCCAGUCCCUUUUUGCAAUUAACAAAACCUGGCUUUCCAAAGAUAUAAAUUUAGAUUUGCUAGGAAAUCCUGACCUGGUAUAGAUACACCUGCUAGAGAAGCAUAUGGCUCUGACAAAUCUUCAUACAUCCUGAAUGUGAACAAAAUACAAUUAGAUAAGCAACAUAGUAACUUCCUUCAUUAAAUAGGAAAUGAGUAGAAUUUUUCAGCUAUAAUUUUAAUCACUUUGCCAUAAGAUAGGUUGUAUUUGUCUUGGGAAACCACACGUACAUUAAAAAGGAAAUCUUAACCUAAUAUUCCUAGCCAUAUGACAAGCCUUAUUCAUAUGAUGAUUUUACAGGAGGAGAAAAUAAAGGUUUAUAUUUAAAAGCACUUUUCCAUUUCAGACAUUUAAAAACCUGGCUUGGUUUUGUUAACUUAAAUUAGUUGUACAUCUUAUUUCUAUGUUUUCUAUUAAAACACACUGGUAGAGAAGCAGUCUUUUCUCUGAGACAUUUGUAAAGAAGCCCCAGGGCUAAGUAGCAGCAAUGGGCUCAUUCAAUAAAUAUAAUGAAAUUGACCGAGGUCAAACAGUAAGACAGAAACAGAUCUGGGACUAAGGCCAGAUCUCCUGGCUUGAAAUGUGACAAGAUUACAGUUCUUAAAUUAAAAUAUAUUUUCCCUGAGAGUUGAAACAGGUCAUACACUUUUAAGAUACUAGUUAGUGACACUUGGGAAAUAUUGGCUAGCUCUCAAACCCAGAAACCACCUUAGAUGCUUUAGCUAACUACAACAUACUACACAGUGGGCAAGAGUCACUAAAAUAAUCACUCCGCAAACAAAGAGAAUUCAAAAUCUGCAACAGCAAUUAGCCACCAGUAUCUUACUAUGUGUCUGUGAUCUGAUGUCCAUUUCCAUGGAAACAGAAAAAGAAGUGAGAGGCAGCCAAGAGAAGAGAUGUCAGAGCUUGUCAGGUUCAGUGGCUAGAGCUGAAAGCUGCAAAUGCCUUUUUUUUUUUUUUUUUUUUUUUUUGUACAAACAGCAUCAGCUGACUUCUGGCACAUAAUCGAUUCUCAAGUUAGGCAAUGUCAGCUUGCUUGGAGAAGCAUAAAGCUAAAGAACAGGCUUAGGUUUUGUUUUGUUUUUGAAGUCUUGGAUUAAGGUAGGAGAUACAAAUUAAAAGCAAACUGUUCCAAAUGCUAAAUUUCUAAAACAUAAGAAUGCAAUAAAAUUGUUUCAAAUUUCACAAAGUAAAGAGA
RNAcentral lists this long non-coding RNA (2817 nucleotides) under Sus scrofa (pig). RNAcentral describes it as "lncRNA (ENSSSCG00050007015.1)". Lineage: Eukaryota; Metazoa; Chordata; Mammalia; Artiodactyla; Suidae. The record is from RNAcentral.